AGAGUUUGAUCCUGGCUCAGGAUGAACGCUGGCGGCGUGCUUAACACAUGCAAGUCGAACGAUCCUUCGGGAUAGUGGCGGACGGGUGAGUAACGCGUGGGAAUCUGCCCUUAGGAGGGGGAUAACGGCUGGAAACGGCCGCUAAUACCCCAUAUGCCGAGAGGUGAAACGAAUUUCGCCUGAGGAUGAGCCCGCGUCUGAUUAGCUAGUUGGUGGGGUAAAGGCCUACCAAGGCGACGAUCAGUAGCUGGUCUGAGAGGAUGAUCAGCCACACUGGGACUGAGACACGGCCCAGACUCCUACGGGAGGCAGCAGUGGGGAAUUUUCCGCAAUGGGCGAAAGCCUGACGGAGCAACGCCGCGUGAGGGAUGAAGGCCUCUGGGCUGUAAACCUCUUUUCUCAAGGAAGAAGAACUGACGGUACUUGAGGAAUAAGCCACGGCUAAUUCCGUGCCAGCAGCCGCGGUAAUACGGGAGUGGCAAGCGUUAUCCGGAAUUAUUGGGCGUAAAGCGUCCGCAGGCGGCCUUGUAAGUCUGUUGUUAAAGCGUGGAGCUCAACUCCAUUUAAGCAAUGGAAACUACAAGGCUGGAGUGUGGUAGGGGCAGAGGGAAUUCCCGGUGUAGCGGUGAAAUGCGUAGAUAUCGGGAAGAACACCAGUGGCGAAGGCGCUCUGCUGGGCCAUAACUGACGCUCAUGGACGAAAGCCAGGGGAGCGAAAGGGAUUAGAUACCCCUGUAGUCCUGGCCGUAAACGAUGAACACUAGGUGUCGGGGGAAUCGACCCCCUCGGUGUCGUAGCCAACGCGUUAAGUGUUCCGCCUGGGGAGUACGCACGCAAGUGUGAAACUCAAAGGAAUUGACGGGGGCCCGCACAAGCGGUGGAGUAUGUGGUUUAAUUCGAUGCAACGCGAAGAACCUUACCAGGGUUUGACAUCCUGCGAAUCCCUUGGAAACGAGGGAGUGCCUUCGGGAGCGCAGUGACAGGUUGCAUAGCUGUCGUCAGCUCGUGUCGUGAGAUGUUGGGUUAAGUCCCGCAACGAGCGCAACCCACGUCUUUAGUUGCCAGCAUUCAGUUGGCACUCUAGAGAGACCGCCGGUGAUAAACCGGAGGAAGGUGUGGAUGACGUCAAGUCAUCAUGCCCCUUACAUCCUGGGCUACACACGUACUACAAUGCUACGGACAAAGGGCAGCAAGCUCGCGAGAGUUAGCAAAUCCCAUAAACCGUGGCUCAGUUCAGAUCGUAGGCUGCAACUCGCCUACGUGAAGGAGGAAUCGCUAGUAAUCGCAGGUCAGCAUACUGCGGUGAAUACGUUCCCGGGCCUUGUACACACCGCCCGUCACACCAUGGAAGUUGGCCAUGCCCGAAGUCGUUACUCCAACCCUUGUGGAGGAGGACGCCGAAGGUGGGGCUGAUGACUGGGGUGAAGUCGAAACAAGGUA
This 1440-nucleotide ribosomal RNA is filed under the name metagenome. Its description in RNAcentral is "bacterial SSU rRNA". It matches the Rfam family "Bacterial small subunit ribosomal RNA". The record is from RNAcentral.